GUCCACAUCACCAAGGACACACACAGUUCUGUUUCUGGAGGUACAGGAAGUCCAUCAGUGUGCAUCAGGGUUCUACAGUUUUGUCCUGGUUUACAGCGGUUCAUCAGAACCAGGAUGGAGGUGACCUGCGCCAGUCCAUCAGCUGCUCAAAAUCCUGGACUUGAGCUCAAUAUGAUGGGAACCAGCAACACAGCACAGGUUCUGAAGUGUCCUGAGGGGUCCAGAUCCUCAGUGCCAGCAGCAAUGAAGGCUGCAGCUCAGUGGACGUCCUACUCUUGUAGACGUUGGAAGCAAAGAGGAAUAAAACUGGCAGGAGUUCAGCUGGAGAUGAAAUACCAAGGUCUGGCUGAGGAUGAAGGGGAUGAAAAACAAGACAAACCUGACGGAGAAAACAAAAACCAGAAACUGCUGAAUCACUUCAGACAACUUGCCGUGAGCAACCAGGACAGUGAUGAGGUAGACCUUCACUUUCUGGACAAGGUGAUCUCAGAUGGAGCCGAUCCAAACAGCUCAGACAGAUUUGGACAAACCGUCCUGCAUGAGGUCACUGAGGAAUUUAUUUAUGUUUUAUGAGCUCUGCGAUGACGAACGUCACACUUGUGUGGCACAAGUGACGUUCGUUAUCCCUAACCCUAUUGGUUGUGACAUGUCCCCAUGGUCCAUAUGCAAACCUACCUUGCUUGUUUUAGAGGACUCUGCUCAUUGGUUACAUUGCAGAGCUGUUCUUUUUGCAGAGAAAGUAUGUGUGUAUGUCUUCAGAUCUCCAGGGCUUGGAGUGUGGAUGUGAUGCGCUUCUUCCUGGACCGAGGUUCGGAUCUUCUACGUCCAGAUCAGUUUGGAGUCACUGCACUGCACGUGGCCUCUGCGCUGGACUACCAGGACAUGGUCCAGUUCCUGCUUGACCAAAAAGGUGUGUGGAGCGCUGUGGUGGUGUCAGUCGGCUUUUA
Molecule: long non-coding RNA, 947 nt
Organism: Parambassis ranga (Indian glassy fish)
Lineage: Eukaryota; Metazoa; Chordata; Actinopteri; Ambassidae
Source: Ensembl